GACGAUGGGUAGCCGGCCUGAGAGGGUGACCGGCCACAUUGGGACUGAGAUACGGCCCAGACUCCUACGGGAGGCAGCAGUUAAGAAUCUUGCGCAAUGGGGGAAACCCUGACGCAGCGACGCCGCGUGGACGAUGAAGGCCUUCGGGUUGUAAAGUCCAAUAAGCGGGGAAGAAUAAGCAACGGGUAAUAUUCGUUGUGAUGACGGUACCUGCCUAAAGCCCCGGCUAACUACGUGCCAGCAGCCGCGGUAAUACGUAUGGGGCUAGCGUUGUUCGGAAUUAUUGGGCGUAAAGGGCGUCUAGGCGGGGGAUUAAGUUAGGUGUGAAAUCCCUGGGCUCAACCCAGGAACUGCAUCUAAAACUGGUUCUCUUGAGUUCGGGAGAGGAGAGCGGAAUUCCCGGUGUAGCGGUGAAAUGCGUAGAUAUCGGGAAGAACACCAGUGGCGAAGGCGGCUCUCUGGCCUAGAACUGACGCUGAAGCGCGAAAGCGUGGGGAGCGAACGGGAUUAGAUACCCCGGUAGUCCACGCUGUAAACGUUGUAUACUAGGUGUUAGUGACUUGUUCACUAGUGCCGACGUUAACACAUUAAGUAUACCGCCUGGGAGUACGGCCGCAAGGCUUAAACUCAAAGAAAUUGACGGGGGCCCGCACAAGCGGUGGAGCAUGUGGUUUAAUUCGAUGGUACGCGAAAAACCUUACCUGGGCUUGAACUGUACAUGACAGGUGUAGAGAUACACUCUUCUUCGGACAUGUAUAGAGGUGCUGCAUGGCUGUCGUCAGCUCGUGUCGUGAGAUGUUGGGUUAAGUCCCGCAACGAGCGCAACCCUUACCCCUUGUUGCUAACAGGUGAUGCUGGGCACUCUAGGGGAACUGCCGGUGAUAAACCGGAGGAAGGUGGGGAUGACGUCAAGUCAUCACGGCCCUUAUGUCCAGGGCUACACACGUGCUACAAUGGCCGGUACAAAGAGAUGCAAUGCCGCGAGGUGGAGCAAAUCUCAAAAAACCGGUCUCAGUUCGGAUUGUAGUCUGCAACUCGACUACAUGAAGCUGGAAUCGCUAGUAAUCGUAGAUCAGCACGCUACGGUGAAUACGUUCCCGGGCCUUGUACACACCGCCCGUCACACCAUCCGAGUUAGCAGCACCCGAAGUGGCUGAUCCAACCUGCAAAGGGGGAAGGUUACUAAGGUGAAGCUGGUGAGGAGGGUGAAGUCGUAACAAGGUA
RNAcentral lists this ribosomal RNA (1224 nucleotides) under metagenome. RNAcentral's name for it is "bacterial SSU rRNA". It matches the Rfam family "Bacterial small subunit ribosomal RNA", at positions 275 to 1498 of the family's 1533-position model. The record is from RNAcentral.